RNAcentral lists this ribosomal RNA (278 nucleotides) under uncultured bacterium. RNAcentral's name for it is "partial 16S ribosomal RNA". It matches the Rfam family "Bacterial small subunit ribosomal RNA", at positions 506 to 784 of the family's 1533-position model. The record is from RNAcentral.
UGCCAGCCGCCGCGGUAAUACGGAGGGUGCAAGCGUUAUCCGGAAUCAUUGGGUUUAAAGGGUCCGCAGGCGGACGUAUAAGUCAGUGGUGAAAUCUUGCGGCUCAACCGUAAAACUGCCAUUGAUACUGAAUUUCUUGAGUAUACUGAGGUAGGCGGAAUAUGUAGUGUAGCGGUGAAAUGCUUAGAUAUUACAUAGAACACCGAUUGCGAAGGCAGCUUACUAUAGUAUUACUGACGCUGAUGCACGAAAGCGUGGGGAGCGAACAGGAUUAGAUA